GUGAGGAAUUUUUCGCAAUGGGCGAAAGCCUGACGGAGCAAUGCCGCGUGAAGGAUGAAGGCCUAUGGGUUGUAAACUUCUUUUCUCAGAAAAGAAUUAUGACGGUAUCUGAGGAAUAAGCAUCGGCUAACUCUGUGCCAGCAGCCGCGGUAAGACAGAGGAUGCAAGCGUUAUCCGGAAUGAUUGGGCGUAAAGCGUCUGUAGGUUGUUUAAAAAGUAUUCUGUCAAAGAUUAGGGCUUAACCCUAGAUAGGCAGAAUAAACUUUUAAGCUAGAGUUUGGUAGAGGCAGAGGGAAUUCCCGGUGGAGCGGUGAAAUGCGUAGAUAUCGGGAGGAACACCAAAGGCGAAGGCACUCUGCUGGGCCAAUACUAACACUGAGAGACGAAAGCGAGGGGAGCAAAUGGGAUUAGAUACCCCGGUAGUCC
This 426-nucleotide ribosomal RNA is filed under the name uncultured bacterium. RNAcentral's name for it is "partial 16S ribosomal RNA". It matches the Rfam family "Bacterial small subunit ribosomal RNA", at positions 354 to 796 of the family's 1533-position model. The record is from RNAcentral.